RNAcentral lists this long non-coding RNA (343 nucleotides) under Carica papaya (papaya). RNAcentral describes it as "long non-coding RNA (CPAP_LNC006402)". The record is from RNAcentral. Lineage: Eukaryota; Viridiplantae; Streptophyta; Magnoliopsida; Brassicales; Caricaceae.
UUUCAAGUAACACAUUUAAAUUUUGAGUAAAAGCAUGUGAAACAAAAGAAUGUGAAACACCAAUAUCAAUUAAAAUAUGUGUAAGGUGGUUGUAGAUAGUGUAUGUACCCUAUAUUAUGUUCGGGUUGGCUUCAAUAUUCUGUUGGGUAAGUGUAUAGACUUUGCUUUUGACUGCGAGUCUGGCCUGAUUCUGAUUCUAUGGACAUUUUCUUGCGUAGUGUUGAGUGCAUUCCCAUACACACGACAGGUGUUAUUGAGGCGAUAAUAAGGUCGGUCUCCAUGAUUUUUACCACAGUGCCGAUAAAUUUUAUUGCGUCUUAUUAUCGAAGCUUGGGAAGGAGCU